CCUACGGGGGGCAGCAGUGAGGAAUAUUGGUCAAUGGGCGGGAGCCUGAACCAGCCAAGCCGCGUGAGGGAAGAAGGUACAGCGUAUCGUAAACCUCUUUUGUCAGGGAACAAAGGCGGGGACUAGUCCCCGGAUGAGGGUACCUGAAGAAAAAGCAUCGGCAAACUCCGUGCCGGCAGCCGCGGUAAUAGGGGGGGUGCGAGCGUUCUCCGGAUUUAGUGGGGUUAAAGGGUGCGCAGGCGGCCUGUAAUGUCAGCGGUAAAAGCCCGGGGUUCAACCCCGGCGAGCCGUUGAAACUGGCGGGCUUGAGUGGGGGAGAGGUAGGCGGAAUUCGCGGUGUAGCGGUGAAAUGCUUAGAUAUCAGGCAGAACCCCGAUUGCGAAGGCAGCGUACCGGCUCCACACUGACGCUGAGGCACGAAAGCGUGGGUAUCGAACAGGAUUAGAUACCCUAGUAGUC
Molecule: ribosomal RNA, 459 nt
Filed under: uncultured bacterium
Lineage: Bacteria
Description: partial 16S ribosomal RNA
Rfam family: Bacterial small subunit ribosomal RNA
Source: RNAcentral